This is a small nuclear RNA of Hyaena hyaena (striped hyena), 105 nucleotides long. NCBI's taxonomy places the organism in Eukaryota, Metazoa, Chordata, Mammalia, Carnivora, Hyaenidae. The record is from RefSeq and is a predicted model, not a curated record.
GUUCUCUCUGGCAGCACGUAUCCUAAGAUUGGAACAAUACAGAGAAGUUUAGCAUGGCCCCUGCACAGGGAUGCGCGUAAAUGGCAAAAGGAACAUUGUAGAUAU